GUGAGGGACUGGGAUUUGUGGUAUGUCCCAUCCCUCCAUCA
Molecule: microRNA precursor, 41 nt
Filed under: Macaca fascicularis (crab-eating macaque)
Lineage: Eukaryota; Metazoa; Chordata; Mammalia; Primates; Cercopithecidae
Description: microRNA 6834
Source: RNAcentral